This 469-nucleotide ribosomal RNA is filed under the name uncultured Glomus. RNAcentral's name for it is "SSU rRNA". It matches the Rfam family "Eukaryotic small subunit ribosomal RNA", at positions 583 to 1056 of the family's 1831-position model. Lineage: Eukaryota; Fungi; Glomeromycota; Glomeromycetes; Glomerales; Glomeraceae. The record is from RNAcentral.
UUCCAGCUCCAAUAGCGUAUAUUAAAGUUGUUGCAGUUAAAAAGCUCGUAGUUGAAUUUCGGGGUUAGUAGGUUGGUCAUGCCUCUGGUAUGUACUGAUCUCACUGAUUCCUCUUUCCUUAUGAACCGUAAUGCCAUUAAUUUGGUGUUGCGGGGAAUUUGGACUGUUACUUUGAAAAAAUUAGAGUGUUUAAAGCAGGCUAACGCUUGAAUACAUUAGCAUGGAAUAAUGAAAUAGGACGUUCGAUCUUAUUUUGUUGGUUUCUAGGAUUGACGUAAUGAUUAAUAGGGAUAGUUGGGGGCAUUAGUAUUCAAUUGUCAGAGGUGAAAUUCUUGGAUUUAUUGAAGACUAACUACUGCGAAAGCAUUUGCCAAGGAUGUUUUCAUUAAUCAAGAACGAAAGUUAGGGGAUCGAAGACGAUCAGAUACCGUCGUAGUCUUAACCAUAAACUAUGCCGACUAGGGAUCGG